UACAGAGACUGCAAGCGUUGUCCGGAAUCAUUGGGCGUAAAGAGCGUGUAGGCGGUCCGGUAAGUCGGCUGUGAAAGUCCAGGGCUCAACCCUGGGAUGCCGGUCGAUACUGCCGGACUAGAGUUCGGAAGAGGCGAGUGGAAUUCCCGGUGUAGCGGUGAAAUGCGCAGAUAUCGGGAGGAACACCUAUGGCGAAGGCAGCUCGCUGGGACGUUACUGACGCUGAGACGCGAAAGCGUGGGGAGCAAACGGG
This 253-nucleotide ribosomal RNA is filed under the name uncultured bacterium. RNAcentral's name for it is "partial 16S ribosomal RNA". It matches the Rfam family "Bacterial small subunit ribosomal RNA", at positions 524 to 776 of the family's 1533-position model. The record is from RNAcentral.